CUCAUUUUCUCUUCCUGCGGUCAGGUGAGGAGAGUUCUUCGCCUCGCGCCAGGAUUCUGAGGCCUCCCCAGCCAUGUGGAACUGGCAAGGAUUGUGAUGACGUUUUUGCUAUUCCAGUGCAGAAAGCAUUUCAUGUAAAACCUGGGGUUGAUGACAUGAGCAAUAUCCGGAGAGAGAGAGAGAGAUUCCUGUAGAAUACAAGACAAGACUAUCACAAUGAGCUGAAAUGUUGGGUCUGUGAAAGUAAUGAGAAGCACAGUGGAAAUAAGUUUCUGAAGGAUGGAAGAGGCUGGAGGCUGGCUAGUGGGAGAAGGUUCCCAGACACGUGAGAGACCCAGCAACAGGGUACUAUUGAGAACCAACUAACUUGGAGCCGUGUAUGAGCCACUGGGAAUAGACUAAAUGAGAUAAUCAACGUCUUGAUCUCAUAUUCUUUCAUUCUACAGAAGGAAGCAGGCAACAGGCUUUGGUAUCAGGAUGAAGCUGGC
This 488-nucleotide long non-coding RNA is filed under the name Homo sapiens (human). RNAcentral's name for it is "non-protein coding lnc-NTRK3-2:6". Lineage: Eukaryota; Metazoa; Chordata; Mammalia; Primates; Hominidae. The record is from RNAcentral.